Molecule: ribosomal RNA, 259 nt
Filed under: Enterobacter hormaechei
Lineage: Bacteria; Pseudomonadati; Pseudomonadota; Gammaproteobacteria; Enterobacterales; Enterobacteriaceae
Description: partial 16S ribosomal RNA
Rfam family: Bacterial small subunit ribosomal RNA
Source: RNAcentral
GCGUAAAGCGCAAGCAGGCGGUCUGUCAAGUCGGAUGUGAAAUCCCCGGGCUCAACCUGUGAACUGCAUUCGAAACUGGCAGGCUAGUGUCUUGUAGAGGGUGGUAGAAUUCCAUGUUUAGCGGUGAUAUGCGUAGAGAUCUGGACGAAUACCGGUGGCGACGGCGGCCCCCUGGACAAAGACUGACGCUCAGGUGCGAUAGCGUGGGGAGCUAACAGGAUUAGAUUCCCUGGUAGUCCACGCCUUAAACGAUGUCGAU